UUGGACUUUGUUCUUCCAUUCCUGUGUCUGAGGAACAUGAUCGAGAGGAGCGCUCAGCUAGCGAUGAGAUGUUCAGGGGUAAUGGGCAUGGUUUGGGAGGGUUUUACCACUAUCAGCCACCACAGUACCCAUCAUACUUCCCUUAUGCCCAGCCUCCCCAAAGUAACUCCGCCCUGAUGGCCCUCCUGCCCUUCCUAUUUGCCAGACUCGCUGCCACUCCUGUAGCAACUCCUGCUGCAGCUCCCGCCCCAGCUGCCUCUGCCACACCGGCCCCAGCAGCGGGUGGAAAAUGAGAUGGGCGUCGCCAGAGGAACCAGAGAGAAAACUCUGACUCCCAUGUCUCCACCUUGUUUACUUAAAUUAUGUUGAUAUUAGCUGCUGUUCAAAGCUGAUUAUUCCAUUAUCAAUAAAUUAAUUACGUUUUAAGAUCCGUCAUUAUGUAUAUGUUUGUCUGUUGUGUUCUGUUUAAUUUACAGAAAGGGGCAAUUCUAUUUGUGAUGCUUUCAAAACAGGAGUGAAACUUCUCUAACAUAAGGUGGAAGGCUCUACAAGUCCAAAUACAAGUAUGAAAUCCCCAAAACGCCUGAAGUCAUUAUCAAUUGCAGGCUAUUUGGUGUUUCCAAAAAGGGGUCAUAACCCACCACCAAAUUGUCUUGCAUUGCAGAUAACAAAAUAUGUUGUUGUCUAUUUGGUAGCUAAUAACAAUACCAUUUUGAAAGACACUUUCUCUAGCACUGAGAAAGUAACAACAUUUAAUAUUAGCACAGUAUACAAUUUCCCCGCUUAUAACAAGCCUUUAACAUGUUGAUUUUUGUAUCGUUUCUGAUUUGAAUUCAAUCAAUAUCCGACGUUCUACAGUAAAUUCCUAAAAUAUUGUGAUUUGAUAUAAAAACCCACUCAAAUGUGAUUGCAUGCUUU
Oncorhynchus tshawytscha (Chinook salmon) is the source of this 918-nucleotide long non-coding RNA. Lineage: Eukaryota; Metazoa; Chordata; Actinopteri; Salmoniformes; Salmonidae. The record is from Ensembl.